This 307-nucleotide ribosomal RNA is filed under the name uncultured Pseudomonadota bacterium. Its description in RNAcentral is "bacterial SSU rRNA". It matches the Rfam family "Bacterial small subunit ribosomal RNA", at positions 29 to 351 of the family's 1533-position model. The record is from RNAcentral. Lineage: Bacteria; Pseudomonadati; Pseudomonadota.
AACGAACGCUGGCGGCAGGCCUAACACAUGCAAGUCGAACGAGAAGCUCUCCUUCGGGGGAGUGGAAAGUGGCAGACGGGUGAGUAACGCGUGGGAACGUACCCUUUGGUUCGGAACAACUCCGGGAAACUGGAGCUAAUACCGGAUGAGCCCUACGGGGGAAAGAUUUAUCGCCGAAGGAUUGGCCCGCGUCCGAUUAGCUAGUUGGUGAGGUAAUGGCUCACCAAGGCGACGAUCGGUAGCUGGUCUGAGAGGAUGAUCAGCCACACUGGGACUGAGACACGGCCCAGACUCCUACGGGAGGCUG